This 390-nucleotide ribosomal RNA is filed under the name Lactiplantibacillus plantarum. Its description in RNAcentral is "bacterial SSU rRNA". It matches the Rfam family "Bacterial small subunit ribosomal RNA", at positions 757 to 1147 of the family's 1533-position model. Lineage: Bacteria; Bacillati; Bacillota; Bacilli; Lactobacillales; Lactobacillaceae. The record is from RNAcentral.
AAGUAUGGGUAGCAAACAGGAUUAGAUACCCUGGUAGUCCAUACCGUAAACGAUGAAUGAUAAGUGUUGGAGGGUUUCCGCCCUUCAGUGCUGCAGCUAACGCAUUAAGCAUUCCGCCUGGGGAGUACGGCCGCAAGGCUGAAACUCAAAGGAAUUGACGGGGGCCCGCACAAGCGGUGGAGCAUGUGGUUUAAUUCGAAGCUACGCGAAGAACCUUACCAGGUCUUGACAUACUAUGCAAAUCUAAGAGAUUAGACGUUCCCUUCGGGGACAUGGAUACAGGUGGUGCAUGGUUGUCGUCAGCUCGUGUCGUGAGAUGUUGGGUUAAGUCCCGCAACGAGCGCAACCCUUAUUAUCAGUUGCCAGCAUUAAGUUGGGCACUCUGGUGAG